Molecule: long non-coding RNA, 1141 nt
Organism: Herpailurus yagouaroundi (jaguarundi)
Lineage: Eukaryota; Metazoa; Chordata; Mammalia; Carnivora; Felidae
Exons: 2
Source: RefSeq, a predicted model, not a curated record
UUCUUUGCUUGCCGGCAGGUGUCCCCGGUCCUUUCACCCAAUCCCGUGUCACCUCUGAGCAGCUGGUCAUCAGAUCCUAGGCAGGAAAGCUCCCCCGCCCGACCGUGAUGCAGGGGACGGGGACAGUGGAAAUGCGGCAAACCGCAGGGGCGGGCGUGCGCGUGGCCGGACGACGGUCGGCGCUGCCGGGAUGUUCGAGGGCAACUACAGAAUGUUCUCAAAGCCCGAAAGCCACAGCCGCGCAACGGCGGGUCGUUUCGGGGGGCCUCAGCCUCCGCCGCUCUGCUGCUACCACAGCUGUUUCCUGGAAGGGCCGCAGUCUGAGAACACGGCCCCAGCACUCUGCCUGUGUCAUUAAUUUAGGAAAAGCUACAAUCACCAUACUCUCUACCCACCUCACUCUCAGCACAACCUCCCCACAUGGCUGGAUGUGGAUACUCACCUACCUUGGCAUCUGCUUCAAGAGAGGAGACAGGGGGGCCUGUUCGGGAGAGAAGGAAGUCAACUUUUCUUCACUUUGGAACAACUGACGCAUUUCUCUUUCCUUCCUGUCGGGCCAGUGCUGAAGCGGGGCAGCGUCUGCGCCCGCCCAGACAGCUUCUGUGGUUGCCCCCCCAUCGCCAAGGACCUCAGGAGCGAGGCCACCCAAAGCCACACCCAGGGGCUCUUGUAGGCCAACAGUCCAUGGUCUUCAGCUGGAGGACAGAUGAAGCUGACGUUCCUGAAACUUUCACCCCUACCAGGGAAACCCCAAGACAGACUAGAGGCUUCAAAUAUUCAAACGUUUUCACAUUUGCAAGGGGUUUCACACUGACCUCGAGUGUAAAUGACUGAUCACAUUGUGAAGAAUGGUUACAAACGCAAGAAUAACAAGACUGGCAUAAGCUUUGGAGGGGGGAGGGUGCACCGCGGGGCGGGGGCAGGGGAUUUCACUGAGGUAUCCCAUACAAAUAGAAUACGAUAAAAUCACAAGCGGGGGGAACACACCCCUAUCAAGAAACUACAACGGCACCCCGGAAGCCCCUUUGUCUGCCCUUCCAGUUACUACCUUCUCUCCAAAGAUAACCAUUUUCCUGAUCUCUAACACCACUGAGUCGCUUUCCUGUUUUUGCACUUUGUGUCAAUGAACGUAUGUAAUAUG